This 253-nucleotide ribosomal RNA is filed under the name uncultured bacterium. Its description in RNAcentral is "partial 16S ribosomal RNA". It matches the Rfam family "Bacterial small subunit ribosomal RNA", at positions 524 to 776 of the family's 1533-position model. The record is from RNAcentral.
UACGGAGGUGGCAAGCGUUGUUCGGAAUUACUGGGCGUAAAGGGCGCGUAGGCGGCUUAGCAAGUCAGGUGUGAAAUCCCCGAGCUUAACUUGGGAAUUGCUCCUGAAACUGCCGAGCUUGAGUCCUGGAGGGGAUAGCGGAAUUCCCAGUGUAGCGGUGAAAUGCGUAGAUAUUGGGAGGAACACCUGCGGCGAAGGCGGCUAUCUGGACAGUGACUGACGCUGAGGCGCGAAAGCUAGGGGAGCGAACGGG